Salvelinus sp. IW2-2015 is the source of this 1340-nucleotide non-coding RNA. Lineage: Eukaryota; Metazoa; Chordata; Actinopteri; Salmoniformes; Salmonidae. The record is from RefSeq and is a predicted model, not a curated record.
GGUCGAGAGCCGUGCGUUCUCCGAAAACACAACCCAGCCAAGCCUCACUGCUUCUUGACACAAUGCCUGCUUAACAAGGAAACAUCCGCACCAAUGGGUUGGAGGAAACACCGUACACCUGGCGAACGUGUCCGCGUGCUUUGCGCCCGGCCCGGACCAGAGGAGUCGCUAGUGCGAGAUGGGACGAGAACAACCCGGAUGACUCUGGGCCAAUUGUGCGCCGCCCCAUGGGUCUCCCGUUCACGGCCGGCUGGGACAGAGGCACAGCUCUGCAUUUUAGACCACUCGGGAGGCUACCUUAACAUCAGUAUUACCAUUUUAGUACAUUCUCUAUAGGUAUGUACUUUAAAAUGGACAAAUUUGGCCACUUGGGUACAUUUUUGGGAAAACUCGUGAGGGACACCUGGGAAACUUCAUACUAAAUAUUAUGUACUUCACUCAUUUUUGACUGUAUCAGUAUGAAACUGUGCACACACGUUGUCCUGUUGGGGACAACAACAACAACAACUAUAGAAAACCGAUGUUUUUUGUUUUGAUCUAUUGUGUUAUUCUCCUGCAUUAUUCUCACCCCUCCACAAACUUCAAAGUGGUUCCAUUCAAAUAGUAUCAAGAAUCAGCAUAUCCUUUCUUCAGGUCCUGAGCUACAGGCAGUUAAAUUUGGGUAUGUGAUUUUAGGUGGAAAUUGAGAUGGAUCCUUACCUAUGCAGGUAUGGAUCCAUUUUGUCUAAAUGGAUAUUUUAACACCAGUAUUUAAUUUGUCCUUAAAGUGGUAGUUCAAUGUUCAAUUUAAAGUUUGUCCUUUUUUUAAAAUAUAAAUGUAUUGGUAUGUACAUAACAUUUCCAUACAACUUUUUUUACUUGUACAGUUUAGCUGAACGCAACAUGUUUGAGGGAUCCCGUCCUUCUGCUGAACAUGAUGAAUAUUCUCUUUGGAAUCUGGUUCGUCUGAACUCCUGUUGAGAAAAGGAAUAGCUGACUUCAGCAGAGGGCUACGUAUCCCUGUCAUAAAGGCUACAUAUGUUAUGUCUAACCCCUCCAUGUGCCUGCCUGGUAUCUGGUCCCCAGCAAGACAUUAUCUUGAAGCUUUUGUCUGUGGCUGAACAAGGAGCCGUGAUGCCAACUAGACUGGUCCUGAUGGUGGUACCAGACUGGUCACUAGAAGAUGCCUGUUACUGAACUACCACAAGAGCUCAUUGGCUGCUGAAGUGUUGCUGUGCUGGUGGAGCGGGAAGCUCUCCUGUUUGGUCAGCAAGGAAGUGAGACAUCUUGUUGGAACUGGGGAAAACGAGGCCAAUUCAACUCUGACUGUGUUUUGAUGUAAAAAUAAAUCUACAAAUUAA